Molecule: ribosomal RNA, 232 nt
Filed under: uncultured Enterobacterales bacterium
Lineage: Bacteria; Pseudomonadati; Pseudomonadota; Gammaproteobacteria; Enterobacterales
Description: partial 16S ribosomal RNA
Rfam family: Bacterial small subunit ribosomal RNA
Source: RNAcentral
CGGACGGGUGAGUAAUGUCUGGGAAACUGCCUGAUGGAGGGGGAUAACUACUGGAAACGGUAGCUAAUACCGCAUAACGUCGCAAGACCAAAGAGGGGGACCUUCGGGCCUCUUGCCAUCGGAUGCGCCCAGAUGGGAUUAGCCAGUAGGUGGGGUAACGGCUCACCUAGGCGACGAUCCCUAGCUGGUCUGAGAGGAUGACCAGCCACACUGGAACUGAGACACGGUCCAG